UCUACAUCAACAAAAUCAUACCUUGACUUCUCUCAAUUUCUCCUUAAAUAUACCUUGGUGAUAGUCCCUACAUUAUAGAUAUUGAGCAUUGAAGGGGAGCUAUGGAGUGUAAUACUUAUAUAGUCUUCCAUCAAGACCUUUAUGUUCUUCAUAAUAAUUAACAUUACCAAUAAAUGGAGAUUAAUAACAUAUAUAUAUAUAUAUAUAUAUAUAUAUUGGUUUUGCACAGAUCCGUGUAUUCAUAAAUUAACCAUUCAAAGGGAAGCACACUAAUGGGCGAAGCAUUAUUAUGAUUCAAAUUUCUCUAAAGCCACACAGCUUAAAUUGAAGUCUUAAACCAUAUUAUGAUUAGAACAUGGACCAGUUUAUAUUCAAAUUCUGCCAGAGCUGUGAACUUAUUUCCUAAACAAAGCAACCCACACAAGGCUUUAUGAAAGCUUGCUGUCAGAAGGUACUUAUCGAAGGACCCCCAAGUCUGGCAAGUUCCUCAUAUUCUUCCAUUAAUACUCAGUAGUCACUGUUCUUCUCCAAUACUAGUAUAAGCAAAUCUGAGACAUCAAUAUUUUUCAUUCUAAGUUCGUUAAACCAUGAAAAACUAGUGGCAUACUUUGAACACAGAGAGAAAACUCAGACUAACAGAAACAUGCACACUGACUAAAUUAUAUCAUGUGAGCAUGGACAAGAUAUGAACAAAAAAAAAAGACAAGAAGACAUUAAACGGAUUCUUCGGAUGCAACAAAUCAAGAGUAUGUGAAAGAUGUGAAAGGCCGUGUGUGAAAGCCCCAAUCAAACGUUUGUUUCUACCCCACCUCAUCACCAUUUAACAUUUCUAUCUAACAAAGGACAACAAGACAUGUUAGGGUUCAACAAUUCAUACGAUAAAGUAAAGAUGCCAAUGUGGCAUCAUGUGGGUGGUAUGCCACCCUAGUGAUAAAUGUAACAUUCUUUUUCACGGAGCAAUAAAAUCACAUCUUUGCAAAAAAGAGAAAGUCUGUUGAUAUCAAACAACGUUUGAACCCUCAUAAAGAAAAUAUCAUAUUUGAACCCUCAUCUAACACGUGAAAAGAAAGAGAUGAUAUUAAACAAGUCGAGAUUGUGAUUCCCUACGCUAUAACAUUAAACGUAGUGUUUCAACCAAUAAGUGAGGUUGAAGAACAUAUCUUUUUGUCAAGUCUGUUGUAAUUUCUAAAACAAAAGCCAUGUAUCAUCACACAAUCAAUAUUAACCAUCUGGCCGCCGCUGUUGUACACAUAAUUAAUAUUGUAUAAAUAAUUAUAAUUUCAAUACUGUAGAUGGUUUGUGAAUGUUGAGAAAAAUAUAGGUGAAAGGCCAAUACCAAACCUAUAUACUGGACAAGAAAAUUUUCUUUUGAGAAACCUGCCUAACGAAAAAUAUAUUUUCAAAAAAUCGUAGUAGAGAAUAACUUGUUUCAAAAGCAAGAGUAAUCAGACGAGACCGCAGAAGGUUUAGGAUUUCAAGAUAAACCUUGAAUUGUGCAAUACAAUCAAUGUUUCGGCAAAACCAGAUCUUGCCGAGAGACAACUGCAAGUAACAAAAUGUAUGGCAAGCCUAAAGAUGGACAGUGUAUGACGAGCAAGCAAUUUUGCUGCUGACCAAGCAAGAAAAAAAGUGUGAGCAUGGGACCUAAUGAAAAUGAAGUUGUUAUUUUGGAGGGAAAAAUCGCCACGCCCAUGGGUUAAACAGAAGGUGAACAUCCUGAUUCUAUGUUUUUCAAAUUUUCUUGAAUCUUGAAUGUGCAGUUGUAACUCCAUUUUUGUAAAUCCACAGUCGGUGGCCCUUUGUAAUUCCACUUUUCGUUUACAAUGAACAUAGUUAGCCAAUAACAAAAAAAACAUAGAGUAAGAACACCUAACACUAGCAACACAACAACUACCAAGAAAAACACAAGCGAUAAAAAUAUAAAAAUUGGAAGAAAAAAAACGUACAUUGACAAUCCAAGCACCAGAAAAAUCAGUCACGAUACUUUCUAAACCACACUCUAUACAAGACCCCUAUAAAUUAUCUAACAUAUAUUAUUCUCCUUUACUAUUUGUCUGUUGUAUGGAUCAAUAAUAAUUCAAUAUACAACAGCUAGAAGACCUUUAGACAACUUGGUGGCUUAUUUUCUCUAGAGUAGACAGAUUGUACCAGCUAAGAAAAAAAAUGAUACAAUCAACAACCUGUGGGUUCCCAUCAGACAAUAUAGCCUCUAAUGCAUCUGUGUGUGCUGCAAUAACUAGUCCCAAUAAUCCAUAGCCUGCUCCAAGUGCAUGGAUUUGUUUUAGAUUGAUAUAUAAAUACAAGUAUACAACUACGAGUUUAAACCAUACCAUUACAAUAUAUAUACAAAGACACACACACUGUAAAACCCGGUUUAUAUUAUAAAUUUUUGUUCGUUAAAUUUUAUUGGAUUAUGAAAUAUUGCAUAGAUGUCUUUAAGGGUUUAGAGUUAAUUUUCUAUUAAGUUGAAGGAUGAUAUAUUAAUUAUUAAAAAAAAAAGAAAUAGAUGGAAUUGGGUUGGGUUGGGUAACAGAUUCAUUUAUGGUCCUAAAAUAAAGCCCAUUAACUUCUUCAUAUUAUUUAUAUUAAAAUCUUACGGUUUUCAUUCAUUUUUUUUAUAACACCAUAUUUGGGAGAAGAAGAAGAAGAAUUGGAAGAAAGCUAGAAAAAGAUUUGGAUUUUUAUGCUUAUACAAGUGAGUAGACGUUUCUUUGUUAUUGUUUCUAUUUCUGUUUUCUGAAAUUUCAGAUUGUUGACUCAUCUUUGAAAAAUCAUAGAAAAUUCGUUUGAAAAGCUUUUUAAUUGAUUCUAAAAACCCUGAGCACUAUAUUGCAAUGUCUUCGUUCGAUUAGUUAAUACCAAUUUACGAAAGUUAUGUUAAUAGAGUGAAAAAAUGACUUGCAAGUAUGACAACCGUUGCAGUUUUUAGUUUCUGUACCAUUUUAGUAUCGUAAGGUUUUGAUCCCUCUAGACUUAAUAAUAUUUAUUGAAAAUUUUAAGGUAGUUAGAAUACCCAAUGUUUAACAACAUAUAUAAAUUUCAGAAUUUACUGUGGGGUAAUUAAUUCUAAAUAAUUUAUUCAACGUAGUUAUUUUCAGAUAUCCAGUAUAAUUUUACUGCUACCUUUCUGUUUGCGUGGCUUUCAUAGAAAAAUCAUAGAAGACUCGUUACUCAACAUAUCUUGAUGAAUUUAGUUGUUUUAGAAAAUAGACCUUCUGAACUAUAAUUUCUAUGUUUAGAAAUACUUUAAAUUAUGAGGGUAAUAUGGUGAAAAAUGGUCAGGAAGUCUGACAUAGAUUGUUUUGGGAUUUCUUUCUGAAAUCUGGUAGGAUUGAGUAAAACAAUUGUUUAAUUAUUUUCUAUAUAUCGAAACUAUUCCAGAUUUUUAUCCCAAGUAAUAUUUUCAUAGUAAAAGGUUGUAUUAAAAUUUUAUGAGAUUUGAGUAAUUAUUUUUAGAUGUGUGAAUUUGAAAGAUGAAUGUUAUUGUUUGGCAGAUUUAUGUAAAGAGUUUCUUUUUAGCAUAUAUGUUUUCCUUUGGGUUUGUCCUUUUGUUUGAUUGUCAAGUUAAAAUAGACACAACUAAAAGUAGUCUAAAUAUGGAAGUGGAUUAGUAUAUAAUGGUAUGUUAAUUGAUUAAUUAUGUUUAAAGUAACCUAGAAAGUUAUAUUGAUGAACGCCUAGAAAUGGCUCCAUACCAAUGGAUGGUAUAUGAAUAGAAACGAAAUGAAUACUGAACUUUGGAUUUAAUUAUGGAAUGGUUUGAUACCAUGGACGGUAUAUAUUCAAUUUGGGAAAUAAGAACGGAAUACGAAAUGGACUUGGAAUUUAAUUGUUUGACAAGGGUUGUGUGAUUGCUUGAUUAGUUUAGUUGUUUUGGUAGUCGCCCAAGCAUUAGUACAUUUGUUGCACCUCUGAAAUUAGGUUAAAGAUAUUAAUUAUCACCCUAGAUGGCUUAGCCUGCAGGUUGACUCUUGGAUUAUAUUUGGGUAUUUCCUAGACGGCUUAACCUGCGGAACUGACCCUUCAGACUUUCAUAGCCAUCGGGGUUGGUCUGGGCGCCACAUUAGAAAGCUCAAGGGAGCUAUUAGAGAUCAUGAUUUAGGCAUACGUUGAGGUUAGCCAAAGCUUGCAGGUGAGCACCCACUUGGGUUUUGGUUUCCGCGUAGAGGCUCUUAACCAUGGUCAAGGCACACUGGUGCAGUGUGGGUAUGGCAAAUGUGUGGAGUGCAUCCUGUGGGAAGUGUACUAGUGAUUGGGCAUAGGUUGUGAUUUUAUGAUUAUUAAACCCGAGCACCGACUAGAGGCCAGGACGAGGUUUUGUGAUUUUGGAUUCAUUGUUUGGUAGUGUGCUAAAGCUUAUGGUAUUGUAGUGCUUGGUGUUAAUUAAUGAUAUGGGUAAAUUUUAUAUACUUUAAUUAUGAACCGGAGGUAACUAUGAUUAUAUGGAAGAACUGUGAUGUUUUAUUUAUUAUGGAAAUUAUUAGUAAUAAUUGGACUUGUCAUUUUGGUAGAUUACAAACUAUGAAUAGUUGGAAUGAAUCAUUAUUAAUGGUUUGAAUGAACGAAAUGUAUUUUUAGGUUGAUACAAAGUAUUAGAUAACACGUAACGUGUAUGUGAUUUGGUUUAUCUUUAUUAUAUUUGUGUAUUAUAUAUUAACUCCAUUUUGCAGGUGGAUAGGUCAACUAAUUUAUUUUGUGCAGGUGGAUAGACCUAUCCUUAAAGACAGUUGUUGCUUAGGUAAUGUAUUUGUAUUAUCGAUCAAUUAACAUCGUAAAUAGAUAAAUUAGAAUUGAAUAAUGAAGUUAAGCAUGUGAUUAUAUAAUGGAUAAAUUGUUUAAAUACAAUGGAAUUGAUAUGGUUUUUGGCGUAUGUUUAUUGUCUUAGCAUGGAAGAAUUGUUCUUGAAGGUUAAUUGUGUUGUUAAUCAUAUGUUGGAACUUUAUAUUUAUUAUGUUAUUUUGUGGGAAUAGAUUUCCCCGUUGUUUACUCAUACCGGCUUUUAUGCUGACCCAUGUUGCUUUGUUUUGCACGUGGGUGUGUUCCAUUUGGAAUUCCAUUUGGAAUGCAGGCAGGAGAGGUUAGAGCUAUGGAGCUAUGACAGAUCGCUUGUUGGGACCAGUAGAGAUCUUUAGAUGUUUCAGUCAUGUAUUUUUUUUUAAAGUGGUAUUCAUGUAUUUUGUUGGCAUAAGUUGUGUUGUAUAAUAGGAUAGAAUCGGGAGUACUUUUAUCGUUUGGAUUUUUCUUCACUGUAUUUUAUUUAAGAUUUUUGUUGGACCUGGUUUUUGAGUUAGAAAUUAUUGCGGCCUGGGUUUAUUUUAUAUUUUUUUUAAAUUCGGGUCGUGACACACAAAAAAGUAAAGAAGCAUAUAUUAUUAAGUAAGCAAUGUGAACUGCUGUUUCGAAGCAGGAAACACCAACAAAACAUAAGAUGCACUGCCUAGGGUCAUAAAGUAUGAGAAGAAGUAUUCUAGUGAUAUUAUGAACACAUUAUGAACAUAAACUGCUGUUUGAAAGCAGGAAACACCAAAAACAACACACCUUGCACAAAGAAAGUCAUCUGGUUGAAUCACUUUAUUGAACUGAGAUGCACUAUUACUAGAUGAACUGGCUGAUACAAAACUGACCCACUGUUUGAGUCAGAGAACUUUAGUAAAAGUUCUUUGAUUGGGGAUCUGUUUAUAAACGUAAUUGGAAAGUACUAGUCUUCAUUUGGUAAUUGUAACAACAGAUAUUCAUAUCACCAUUUUGUUUGAUAAAAAAUAUAGGGUAAUAUCCCAAAAAAGCCCCAUGUUUAGGUGUCUCUUCCCCAAUAGGCCCUGACAUGGGUCAUCUUCUCAAACAAGCCCUUUGACUAGAUCAUAUUUUUUUAGUAGGUCAAAAUUACCCUUUAUUCUAUCUUCUAAUUUCAACUUUUUAUCCUCUAAAACCAGAAUAAGACAAAAAAACAGAAAAAGACAAAAAACAGAAAAAGACAAAAAAACAGUUGGUGUAUAACUUUUUGGUUUUAACAUUUGAAAAUAUUAUAAGUUGUGUUUUAGAAAUCGAAAAUCAACAUGGUUUAUAUGGUUGGAAAGGUCUCGACGAGAUCUUUCAAACUAGAUCCCACAUGACUAUAAAAUUUUAAAUUUAAAAAUUUAAUUUUUUUAUAAAAAUUCAAAUAUUUAUAAAAAAUUCAAAAUUUCAUAUUUGCUUUUGGGAAAUUUCUCAAAAAACCACCACAUUUAGGUGUCUCUUCCCAUAUAGCCACCAAUGAGAGCUAAUCUUCCCAAAUAGCCACCUUACCCCACUUUCCUACUUUUUGUUUACAAUUAUACCCUUCUGUACAACUGUUGCUCUUGUCUCCAUCAAAUCAACUUUUUGGUCGAAAAGAAAAGAUUCCUUUAUUGCAUAUAAGUUUUAGACAAGGACAUUAAAUCAAACUUAACCGUUGGAUUGAAAACAAAAGAUCCCUACCGUUGGAUUUUCUAAUGAAUGUACUGCACAUACAACCACCGUGUCAUCUUCAUCUCUUCUUCUACUUUUUCGAUUUUUCUCUGAACCUUAACAUAGUUUGUUCUCCCUUUGUUCUUCACCUUCUUCUACAUUAUUCUUCUCCCCAACCUUAAACACACAAACGUACUUCUUCACACCCAAAAUGCCACCAAAGAAAAAGGCAAAAUCGAAAGCUUUAAUUGCAAAUGAAGUCCAGAUGAACAGUAAAUUAGGUAAGUAAGCUUUAAAUGUUCUUAAAUUUGCAGAUUUUAAUGUUUGGACAAUAAAGUAGGUGUUGUUGUUUGGCUUUGAAUGCAGUAGGUGUUGUUGAUUUGUGUAAGCAUUUUAACAUACGUUUUGUUCUGUUUUAUGACAAAAAUGUGGUGAAGGUGUUGGCGAUUUAAAGAUGGUAUCUCAUGAAAAGAUAGAAUCUUUAUAAAGAUACCAUCUUUAUGAACCCUAACCUUCAUAAAGAUGGAAUCUUUGAUAAAGAUUGUGUGUUUAUGAAAUCCCAACCUCAUAAAAGUUGUAUCUUUAGCAAACUCACAUCCUCAUAAUUUAGAGACAAGCUAACAUAAAUGGUGCUGUGAUUUUGAUUGUGGUUCAUUAUCAGUUUACUGGUGCACAUCUGAGGUCAAUGUCACUCUGUUUUAAAAGUAAACUAUAACUUAUAUUAAAUUAGAGGCUAAAUAAAAGUAUACUAACCGACUUGUUAGUUACUUUUAGCCGAUAUGUUUUAAUAAUUUGCAUGAAAUUGUGGUUUCAGGUAGCACUAUCAAUGUUGUGUUUCCCUAUGGUGGUCAGGUUGAGACUAAUGCAGAUGGAUUGUUAUCAUACAAGAAUGGUGACACAAAAAUAACAGUUUGGGAGUUGAAGGCACCAUAUGAAGAGUUUAUGGAGAUGGUUGAAGAUAUGACUCAUACACAAAGACACAAUUUUUUAAUUCAAGCUAUCGUCAAUGACAGUCCACGCAGCAUCCCUGCUUAAUAUGACUAUGAUCAAUUGAUAUUGGGGAUUGUUCCUGCCAAGAACUUAUAUGUCAUGUCUGUUUGGAUAGUAGGAGAUUUGAAAUCAAUGAAUGGGGAAUCAAGCUCCAAAACACAGAAAAAUGUGAAAGGAAAGGAGAAAGUAAUUGAGGAAGAAACACAUUAAGAUCGGUAAUCAUUAUAGAUGGAACAUUUCUGAAAGGGAGAUAUCCUGGAGUUGUACUAUCAGCAAUUGGAAUUGAAGGAAAUAAUCAUGUGUUCCCUAUUGCUUUUGCCCUUGUGCAAAAAGAAAACAAUGAGUAUUGGGAAUGGUUUCUUGAAAAACUUAGGGACCAUGUGGUUGGGACUGACCACGAGUUUGUGCUUCUUUGAGAUAGGCACAAAAGUAUUAUUCAAGCUGUACCAAAGAUUUUGCCCAAGGCUUGUCAUAUGUAUUGUGCCCAACACAUGUCCCUUAAAUAUGGGAAUGCAAAAGUAAGGUGGUUGCUUAAAGAGGCUGCCAAGACACUCAAUCAAAAUGAGUUCUGGGGUUUGCUGUUGCAAAUAUGGGCCAUAUCUCCAAAGGCAUACCACAGCCUAAUGGCAAUUGGACCACUAAAUAAGUGGGCUAGUGCGUUUCAGGAGAAACCCAGGUCGGUAUCUAUGCAUUUCAAUAUCCUCUACUAGUAGUCAUUCUACCGUUUAAUAAUAGUUAUAAUACCGGUUAAUUGUAUAUGUGUCUCCUCUUCUUAAGCAGAUAUGGAAUUAUUUACACUAAUCAUGUGGAGUCGUGGAAUAGAAUGAUUAUACCAGAAAGAAUGCUUCCUGCUACAAAUCUGGUCGAAGGAAUUCAUGCCAACAUCAUGAGGCAUUACAGAGAUUAUCGUGUUGAUGGUGAGAAAUUCAAGACACCUGUAACUAAGUGGUGCCACGAACAAAUUUUGCAUAAUGCUUGGAGAGGUAGAACCUUCACUCGUGAGAAGACAUCUCCAACUAUUUGGACAGUUUAUGGUGAAAGCAGGACAUGUGUGGUGGACUUGAAUGCAAGAGAAUGUACUUGCAAAUGGUGGCAAACUAUGGGAAUACCCUGUGAGCACGCAAUGUCUGCCAUUAGAGAAUGUCAAAUGGAUCCAUACACAUUUUUUGGUGUGUACUACAGAAGGGAGACAUAUAUGGAGACCUACAAAGAAAAUUGGAGACCCACAAGAGGAAAGGAUGAAUGGCCAAAGGAUAGAGUAGGCAGAAAGAUUCUUCCACCACUACCAUGUGUUAUGCCUGGACGUCCAAAGAAAAAGAAAAGGAGAGGCAAACUUGAAGGUAUCCCAGUACAGGAGAGAAGAUGCUCAAGGUGUAGGGGUACAGGACACAACAAAUCAACAUGUAUUGAAGUUGUACCAGACUUUGACUAUUUUUUCCAACCUUUACCUGAUGGACCACCUGAUUCCUAUUAAGUGUUGGAUGUUUUGUUAUCUAAGUUAUGCCUUUGGAAGGUGUACCAUAUUUUGACCAUUUUGUUUUAUGUUUGCCUUUUAUAUGGCACAUUUUGUAAGUUGCCAUUUUAUGAAUCCUUACAUAUGUAUCCGCUAGUUGAAAGAUUAAUAUCCUCUAACUGUUACAGGAGAGAAGAAGCUCAAGGUGUACCAUACUUUGAAUAUUUUUUGACCACCUGAUUCCUAUUAAGUGUUGGGAGUAUUUUGGAAGUUGUACCAGACUUUGACCAUUUUGUUCUAUGUUUGCCUGUAUAUGGCACAUUUUGUAGGUUGCCUUUUAUUUUGUAUGUUUCUUUGUUUAUCUUCCAGAUAUUACAUCUGUAUCCUCUAAUGGUGAUGAUUAGUAUCUCUAAAUAGUAAUUCUGUAUCCUCUAACUUAUACUAAAUAUUGGACGAACAGAACAUGUAAUAUAAUAAUACUUUCAUAAUUUGCAUAAGGGAAGGGAAAGGAAAAGGGUUUGUACAUCUAUCCAAGACAAGAAAAAAAAAAAACUUCAACAACAUAAAAAAAAAAACAGAAAACACUUCAGCAAACAUAAAAGAAAACUUUCACUCAUCAUCAUCGUAAUCUUCUUCUUCUUCUUCGUUUUCUUCUUCUUCAUUUUCACCAGAAAAGCUGCUCUCCACCUCAUCGUCCUCUGCGAUGUCCUUAUCCUUUGCAGCAACACAUUCUUGGGAAGAAGGCACAUCGCUGUCAUCAGGGUACUCAACAAGAGGAUUGGGCUGGACAUAAUCUGAGGUAUUCAAGGAAUCAGACUCAUCAUCUUUCUUCUCUUCACUUGCUCAUUCAUCAUCCUCUUCUUCGUCAUCAUCAUCUUCUUCUACAUCACUGAAACUUCCAAGGAAAGGGUCUGAUAUUUUGAGAAGCUUCAGAAGGCAUUCAUCUGCAUCCUUGAGUAGAGAAACAGAAAAGAAGCCAUAGUUUUGAAAAAAAAAAAGCUCUCAAGAAUGGUUUGUUUGAGUUGUAACCUCACCAUGGAUUUAUACUAGUAACAUUUAAUAAAGUGGAAAGAUCAAGACGCGAAUUCCAAGCAUUUGACUAAUUUUUUCACCAUCCAACUAAUAUUCUUUAUGACCAUUUAAGAACAUCCCUCAAAAGUAUCAAAAUACAUUGAACUGAAAGUAAAUAUUAACGGGACAUUAAACUUAUCUAGUUUUACAAAAGUUUAGUCACCAAGCACACUGUUCAUACCCCCUUACAUGGUGGCUUCAAUCCACACUGAACAAGGUCCAUAGCAAUACGUUUCCUCAUAAGAGCAGACCUUCUCUUGAAAUCAAGUUCCCUACCCCUGACUAUACAAUCAAUGUAACCAAGCAAAAAAACACCACAGCUGUGACCAUCAUCUUGUUCUGGGCAAUUCACAAACUCCCUUUCCCAUACAAAUUCCAAGUCAAAAUCUGGAAUGUUAGGGUCAGCAGCAAAGACCACAUAAGGCAACAUUUUCUCCAACCCUAUCUGUUGUUUUGAUGGUCUCUUCAAGCCCAAAGAGUCAUAUAUUCUCACCUUCUUUUCCUUAAAGCUGAAACUCAAGAGUACCCAGUGGUUAUCAUUGACCUGCAUUAUUAACAAAUAUCAUAGGUUUUAGCAGAUAUUACCUUUGUUGUUAGAGGAUGUGGUUAAAGUACAUUAGAGGGUACAAAGUCAAUAUACUUACUUGUAAAGGAAUAAGUAUAGCCUUUGCAUGGUAAGGGGAAACUUGGUUCUCCAUAUGACCAGUAAGGUCCAUCAUCCUUUUCUUCUAUCUCAGCCCCCCCCUUGGGUGUUUUUUCCUUUCUUUUGAACCUGUAUGUCCUCAUCUUCAUCACUAUCUGGCCUUGGAAUAAAUCUUCUUUUUUUUAGUUUCUUCUUUGGCAUUUUUCCUCUCAGCAAUUCUUGCAUCUUUGGCUUUAAUAUUUUUCCUCCAUGACCUGUCAAGACCUGCUACUUUGCUUUGCCUGAGGAUAUAAGACAAAUAUUAGAUGGUAUAAAGUUAACAAUUAGCUGCUAAUAAUUAGGCAUUUAGAGGAUAUAACUGAAAUUCAUACCUAAGAGGUUGUUUUCUGGUAGGAGGUGGGAUGGUCUUCUGUUUCUUUGGUGGAGGUGGAGGUGGAGUCACUUGUUGCUUCUCCUGUUCUCUAAUUUGACUUGUGCUCCUUGUGACCCUCAUCCCACCUAAAGAGAGUUGUAUAGUUUGAGACCUCUCUGGAGUUGUUGCAAUUGGUGAACUUAACUUCUCACUAACAAUUUUCUUGCCUUUUCUAUCUGCACUAGGACUUGAAAUGGUCUUUGCAAUGGUUUUAGAUGGAGUAGGCUUUCUCUUGGUUGGAGUGGAAAUGCUUUGACUCCUUGUAUUAACACCACUCUUGGAGACUGCUUUGGUGGUGGUGGUAGUUGUUUUGCCCUUCUUCAGAACUGACUUGGGUGCCAAAGUUGUUUUGGUCUUGGGUGUAGCAGUUGUUUUAGGGUUAGCCUUGGGGGCAAGUACAGUUGUUUUAGACUUGGCUACAGCUGCUUCACUCUUCUUAGUUUCAUUUCUCUUACUGGGGGUACUUGGUUCCUUCCUCUUUUUGGUGGGGGUACUUGGUUCCUUCCUCUUUGUGGUGACCCCACUUGGUUCCUUUUUCUUUUUGGUGGAGGUACUUGGUUCUUUCCUCUUUCUGGUGGGGGUAGUGUCCUUCUUCUGUUUCCUUCCUUUAGGAAUGUUUCUCAUCUGGGUUGAAGAUGAAGACCCCCCUUUCAGUGCCUCGGGUUUCAAUAUCUUGCUUACACCAGAAACAACUCCUUCCUCAAUGUCUUUUACCACCCCCUUCAGAAUUCCUUCCAGUGAACCCACACCUAUAUCCUUUUCUUGCUUGUCAAGUUCUUGUUGCCACUACAACACCAUUAUAUACAUGCUAAUAUUAACAAAUAAUAUUUCAGAGUCUAGAGGAUAAUAAUUGUAAUUUAGCCGAUAAGAUAGACAUAAUUUGAGGAUGCACAUAUAUUGUUAUAUGUAAUGUACGAAUUUACUAUCUACAAGAUAGACUAGGCAUAAUGUAUGGGAUAUAAAACCUAAUUAGAGAGUAGUAUACAUACCUUUUCUGCUUCAACAACAAGUGCUUCACCAGAUUCUUGAAGAGUAAGGAAAGGGGGAGCAACUUCGAUUGCUUUUCCGCGAGGAGGGUUAAGCUUCUUAUCAAUGGUUUCUCUACAUGUUGUUUUUCCUGGAAGAUUCUUCCAACCAAGCAUCCUAGGGAAUGGUGGUACAUCAGCUUCCCUUCUAGGACCUAGACAUGGGAUGUGGCUGUAUGCCCAGACAAUAAAUGCAAGCACACACCCAGGUAGAUUGUAACUCAGUUUUUGGGCUGCUUCAUUUGUUGCUGCUGUUUCUAGAGCAUUUUCUAACAGAUUGAACACAACAGUUCCCCAAGGAAAUUCAUCAAAUUUCUGAAGAUUUGAUGCAAGGUCGACAUACCUAAGAUCAAUGGUCAUAUAUGUUACAAGACUAUUACAGUAUACAUAAACCAUGUUAACAUUAUAUAACAUAACAUAUUUACCCUAAACCUUGUGCAUAUACUAAAUUUAGAGGAUACAUGAUUAAAGUUUAGAGGAUAACAUGCUGAUGUGUAGCCGAUAACAGGACACAAAUAGGAAGCCUAAAUAUUACUAUUUAGCAUAUAAGAAUAAAGACCACAAUGUUGCCAGAUAACAUUGUGUGAAUUUUAGAAGAUAACAUGAACAUAUUUAGCAGAUAAUAUAACCAUAUUUGAAGAUAAAUGUGUGAAUUUUGGACAUACCUGACAUCAAUGGUAUUAGAUGCAUCUGGUAGUAGGCAUGUUAACAGACGCAACAAACGAUUCAAACGAUGCACAUCAUCACCAGAAUUAUGAUCAUUUCGUGCUACUUCAAUUGCAUCUUUCAUGUUCUUUUCCUUAAUGCUUUUCCUCUUACCAAAAUAUUUCUCCCUAAAUGGACUUGGAACUUCUGAUUCCAUGAAAAUGAACUCAUGUGGUACACGAACAAUUUUCAAUCCUAAAUUUAAAGUCACAUCAAAUGGUUUGAACUGCAUUUCCUUUCCCCCAAUCUUGUACUUCAAUUUACCAACUCUAGCUUUCACAAUUUGUGUAACAACAGAUGUAAUCAUGUGCAAUUUAUCUGUUUGAACAUCUAAGAAAUACCUAAAGCAUGAAGAACUAAAAUUUUCCUUCUCCAACAGAGGUAAUUUACUCCCAAAAUGAUCACCUACCUUCUUCAUUGAGCAUCUUACCGUUACACUGAAAUUACGGCCAUAUUUCUUUUUCAUCUGUUCUACUCCACUUGAUUCUGGAAUUUCAUCAUGUUGCUCUUGAAUUUUGUCUACUUCUUCUUCCAUUUGUUGUUGUUCCUCUUCAAUUUGUUGUUCUCCUCCUUCAAUUUGUUGUUCUCCCACCUCAAUUUGUUGUUCUCCCACUUCGAUUUGUUGUUCUCCCACUUCAGUUUGCUGUUCUUCGCCUGCAAUUUGUUGUUCUUCUUCUACAUGUUUCUCUUCUUCUUCUUCUUCGUCUUUCUUUCCAAAUUCUGCUUCUUUCUCUUCAGCUUCUUCUACUUGCUCUUCAAUUUUUUCUUCAAUUGCUCCUUCUAACUUCUCAUUAACAGACAUCUCGUUGUGUUGUGAAAUUGAUACUGUUUCUAGGAUUUUGGAGGUAGUGGAUUCAACAACCAUUUUUUGUCAAAAUUAAGAGUUCUAGAACUACAAGGAAAUAAUUGAAAGGGUAUAAUUUCAACAAGAAAUGGUAACUGUGUUAAUGGAGGCGGUUGAAAGAAGAAAAAUGGUUUUUGGUAAGUUAGGGUUUUUGUUUGGAAGUGAUUAUCUUCUCAAAAAUUUCCCGCCAAAAUUACCCUCCAAACAGCCCUAAACACGUGUCAUCUUUUCGUUGUAUGCACAAAUCCAUGUUUAAUCUCAGCCGUACACGUCAUUUAGUUGGAAACAACUGUUAAGGGUAGUUUUGUAAAUACAUCUGAAUAAUAAACGGUUGUGAUUUAAUCUCUCAUUUCUAGCAAAAUCAAUGGUUAUAAUUUUUAUAUAGGUUAUUGUGAAGGGGUCACAUCAGUUUGUACUUGGUCAAAUCAAAGCAAAAAGUUUUGUCAUAAGUACAAAGGGUAGUUUAGGUAAGAAAAAAAAAAAAAAAAAAAAAACUGAAUGAAUAGUGGCUUUCGCAUUUGUCUAGUUGAAGGACUAGAAGAAAAACAAUAGUGUGUGUUUUUGGGCUAGUUGCAAGUGACCUUCAAUAUUCCCUAUGAUCAUGUCUUUAGUUUGUUUUUUGGAGGUUGGUAUUGGUCUAUCAGGUUCUUCUACAUACUUGCAUCAUUCUAGUAACUACCAUGUCAUGGUGUAUGAUGUCGUUCUUCGAUUUUGCAUUCUCUUGUGGUUGAGGUUUGUUUAAACUAUAUUCGGUUGUAAUUGGAAUUCGUAUGAUACGUAGAAGUGUUUUCUUGUGAUGUCUCUCAAUAUUUUUUUUGGAGUUAUGUGGUUUAUUUUAAAAAAAAAAAAAAAAAAAAAAAAAAAAAAAUGUGGUCGUACGAACGCUGUGAUGACGUUCGAACGUUGAGGUGGGCAGAUCUUUUUCCAACGUACGAACGUUUUCAGAACGUACGAACGUAGGGUCUGACAGAUGUUUUUUUUUUGGUCCCGACGUACGAACGUUAUUAGAACGUACGAACGUCCCUGAAACAGUCCGGCCCAUUUGCUGUUUAAAAACCAAAUUUUUUAAACACAAAGCCUACUGUUAUAUAAAUCGUGUUUCCCUCCUUGUUACACUACAAGCUGUUAGUUUUUGGUCGUUUCUCCUCAUUGUCUUAGGUGAUUCUCUUCUCUCUCAACUUGUUUGCAAUUUGUUCAUCUUCUCUUCUCCUUGUUUUGGUCCGGUGUGUUGGUCGGGAGAUUUGUUCGUCAUUCUCACUCACAAUCACUUGUAAGUUUUCUUUUGUUCCUUCUUCUCUUCUCUAUUGUCAUGUUCUUGUUGAUAUUUUGGGUUUGCUUUAUCAUAUAUUGUUAGUUAAGGUUGUAUGCUUGUUUGUUGUCUUCAUGGGACUUGGUGUUUCUAUACUCGCUCUUGCCGCCAUUUUAGUUGGUAAUGACCUUGGGAAGUGGUUUGUUCUUGGUCUCUAUUGUGUCUUUCUGUUUUGCUAUGUGUUUGGGUGCUUGCGAUUCUUUCAUUGUUGUCGAUAGCACAUGCUUAGGUUUCUGCACACCAAGUGUUUGAUGAAAUGCCUCUAUGGGCUUGAAUUUGGUUAUUUUGUCCAUUUUCUUACAUUUUUGGUUUGUGUACUGGUGUGUUUGUGUAGGAAAUGUCUUCAAAGCGUGCACGCACCUCCACGGCAUCCGCAUCUAAGGGUGCAUCUUCUUCUCGCGCUCCGAGGAGUCGUGGUUCCACUCCGGGUGUGUCUCAUCCAUCAUCCCUUGGCGCUCAUCCUCGAGCCAAGGCCAUUGUUCCCGAGCGUUUCUUCGACUUGGGAGACAUUGCUGCCACCCCUCUAGGGGCAUCUCAACUUGGAAAUAUCGCAUUGUUCUUUGAGACUCGGAAUUGGCUAAGGGUGGCUCAACCAAUCACCAAGUACUCGGUUGAGCAUACGAUAACUUUCUAUGAGACAAAGACACCCUCGCAAAAUCGAUCGAGUUUUUCGGUUUUGAUUGAAGGUCGGCGAUACACCAUUUCUCCUAAGGUGAUACGCGAGGCGUUGGGUAUUGAUGGUGACUUUGUUCCUGAGGAUGCUGUCUCUGUUAGAUGGCCCGUUCCGGAGUCAAUUCAAAUUGACUUUGUCAAUCAAGUUCAGCAGAUGUUUAUUGAUGGUGUCACGGAAAGGUAUCAUGCCAAGCACUACAGCGCCAUCCUCCUGCACAUGGUUGCUCACUCCAACAUCUACCCCACCAAGGGCAACAAGAUAAUUAUGACCGACGACAUGGUCAAAUUGGUGGUUUGUAUGUCGGUGCACCAUAUUCAUCUCUCUGAGGUCAUCUACAAUCGGAUGCUUCAAAUUGAUGCAGCUAAGGGUACUCUUCCUUUCCCUAGCUUUAUUAUGACGAUUCUCAGGCACUUGGGUUUUCAGGGACAGUAUUUGGGGGUGAGCCCUCCAAAGUUUGUUGGCCACGACUGGGUUAACGCUAUUAAAAAGGGCUGUCAGUCUCGAAAGUUGGCUUUCGAGUCCGUGGGUGCGCGUCUGACGCACCACCUCAUUUGGGGAGGCAGGGCACUUGUGCGUAAUGAUGAUUUCGAUCGGGCCUUGACCACUGGACGCCCCAUCCCUGCUUCUGCUAGGGGAAAUCGGGCUGUUGCAGCCAUUGAUGCUCGGGUUUCCUCUCUCCGCCGUCAUCAGGACCAUAUGGAUGCUCGGUUGGAUCGUUUCGGGGCCAUUCUCUCUCGUCAUGAUGUCAUGAUCAGUGAUAUUCAUGCGAUGAAUGUUGCUCAGAUGCAGCAUCUGCAGCUGGACUUCACUCCCACAGACUUGCCUCCGUUUCCGGAAGAGGUGCCUCCAGUUCAAGGUGCGAGUGAUGGUGAUAACUCAGAGAGUGAGGACGAGGGUGAUGGUGAACCGAGUGAUGGUGACUCGGACUCCGAGUAGUGGUUUUUUUCUGGUUUACUCUCCACAUUUUUGUACUUAAAUUUUUUUUGCUAUAUCGGUUUGUUUCUAUUUUUUUUUAGUAUUGUACAUGUUCUUGGAUAUUGCUAUUUUCAUAUUAGUUCAAGUUGGUUUCCUUGUUUUGCAGUAAAUUUUUCUGAGGUAAUGGACCUUUCUUUUUGGGUCCAUGAUAUGUUUACUCCUAUUCUUCUUAUAAAUAGGGAGUCUUUUCUCUUUCACUCAUAUUGUGUCUUCUUACCUCUUGCUAAUUCUCUCUUUGUUCUUCAGAAUUUUCUAUGGCAGAAUAUGAACUUCAUGGAAUUUUUGUUCCGAAUGUUGGUUAUGUGUCGUUCAUGGUAAUGGAGUACAAGAACAAUGCUAAGGUUUGUCGUUUGUGUCGCGUUCCCCAUGGAUAUGACUAUAUUCAUCGUCCUUUCCUUAAUCCUUGUUUGGUUCGUGUCAAUCAUUGGGAGAGAUUACCGGGACAUCUUCAAAAUCACAUCUUGGAGUUGGUUGGUUAUCCGAAGGUUCCAGGACUUGCUGCUCCACUUACCGACUGUGGCUUGGACAGCAGAAUUGAGGAGUUGUUUUGUACGAGUGAAUGGUUGGAGGAUUAUGAUGAUCAUGUGAUUGCUCGGUGGAAUCGACCUUCGGCUCGUGCGGAAGCUUACUUCUCCAAGCUUCCUCUAGGUCAUUGGGAAAGGGUCUUUCGAAUUCGUUAAUUCGAGCUUUCUAUUUUUGUCGUUUUGGUUUUUCUGUUUAUGGAUAUCUCUGUUUGGUUAUUAGUUGAUUUUCUGAACUUUUAAUAGUUGGGUUCGGUUUAUAUUUUUAUUUGUUCUGUAUUCUUUGUUUGGUAUUGAUUUCUUCUUCUUGAUUAUUGGUUUAUUGUUAUUCUUUUCCUUUGAUUGGUUGGUUAUUUUGUUCACUUGUUGUGACAAAAAGGGGGAGAUUUAUGACUCUAAUUACUAACAAUCGUCUUCUUGUUGUUAGGUUAUUUUUGGGUCAUGUUUCAGGUAUGCUACACGUAUGGGGGAGUUGCUCAUGAAGUUUGGAGCUCAUGAAGUAUGGGGGAGUUGCUCGAAGGAACUUCUGUUGAAUCUUUGAUUGCUUCCGUUCGAUCUCUGAUGGUUAAAGCAUCUUCCUAAAGCUGGAUAACAAGAAUUGGUGACUUGUUAUGUGUUUCUAUUUUGAGUGUUUUUGUAGGCAUGUUUGAUAAAUGCCAUGGUUUGGGAUUGUAAGCACGUUUUUUAAGUGCUAUUAGAGUCAUAGGUUUUUGUCACAAAAUCAAUGUCAAAGGGGGAGAUUGAAACCGGCACGAAGUGGUUUGACAUCAAUUUUGUGACAAAGUGUCUUUGGUUAUCUCGCCUUGAAUUCAUUGUUAGGAAAACCAAGAUGUACGCAUGGUCGUCUCGUGUCCUUGUGUCUCUUAGGUCUGUCUAGGGAAAGUUAUUGGGUUCUGGACGUACGUACCGAGUUAGGACGUACGUACGUUCACUGAAGCAGCGAACUUCUUUUGGUCAGGACGUACGUACUUGUUUAGGACGUUCGUACGUCCUGGUAGUCAGCAGACAUGUUUUUGUAUGGAGACGUACGUACCUGUUUAGAGCGUUCGUACGUCAUGUUAGGCAGCAGGCUUAUUUUUGUGUGGCGACGUUCGAACGUCAUAUCGACGUACGAACGUCCAAAGUCGGUUUGCUUUGUUUCGGCCCAUUUUUCUAGGUUUUCAACCCUAAGUAUAAAUAGGGUUUCUCUUCUACAGAACAAGACAGUUCUUUGGCCGUCCAUCCUUCUUCUUGUUCAUGUGUUUUGGUUAGGUUUUUGGUAUUAAACUUGUUUGUGGCUAUUGAACUCAAUUCCCUUUCUUCCCCCUUUUCCCAAUUCAUAUCUUUGUGAUCUUCAAGAGUUAUUGUGAAUUCGGCUUCGAGUCUUCUUGUGUGUUCAUCAAGAAGUCGAGUGUCUUGUGCGUACAUCAAGGUGCUCUGGUGAAGUCAAGGUGUUAGAGAUAACCAGGAGUAUCAACUCGCAGUGAGUGCAGGUAGUUGAUAGGUUUGUACAUCUCUUUUCAUCUAGUGGAUUAUUUUGUUGUCGCGAGGACAACCGUGGACGUUUCCCAGUUUGGGUUUUACCACGUUAAAAACUUCUGUGUGUUAUUUACUUUCCGCGUAUUGUUUGUUUGCUUGUUUGAAUUCACAUUUGUUACACUAGCACUAUUUGUAGUUUCUCAAUUGGUAUCAGUCGCUGGGGGCUGGUUAAGGAGCGUAAAGGCUCACGCUAACGAUCAAUAGUGCUUUAUGGAUUCUCACAAGUCUGCUACUUCAAGUCUUCCUCCACAAUUCAGUGGAAAGGACUUUGGUCAUUGGAAAGUACGUAUGCGAGCUUAUCUCCAAGCAUUAGGAGAAGAAGUCUGGCUUUCUGUUGUCACAGGGUGGAAAGAACCUCUGACUACUACAGGUACUGAUGAUACUGCUGUUACAUCACUGACGCCACGUGAAAAGUGGACGCCUGAACAGAAGUUGUUGGCAAAUUAUAACAACAAGGCACUCAAUGCUAUUUUCAUGGCAUUAAAUGCUAGUGAGUUUCGUAGGGUGCAGGGCUGUGAAGAGGCUAAAGAUGCAUGGAACAGGCUUAUCUGUACACAUGAAGGUGACGAAACAGUCAAAGAAAGUAAGCUGGAACUGUUAACAUCUCAGUUUGAGAAUCUCCGGAUGGAUAAUUCUGAGACUUUUGAUGAUUUCUUUAUUCGUCUCCAAGACAUCAUCAACUGCAGUGCGGCUAUUGGUCAUGCAUAUACUGACACACAGGUGGUCCGUAAGAUAUUGCGUGCUUUGCCUCCUCGGUUUCGUUCACGAAAGGAUGCCAUCACUGAAAGUAAUGUGAUUAAGAACAUGUCCAUCGAGACACUUGCUGGCAAACUAAGGACAUGUGAGAUGGAACAGGCUUUGGAAGAACCUUUGAAGAACAAAUCUGUAGCAUUCAAAGCUACAUCGUCUAAAGAACCUUCCACAGGACCUUCUGAUGAUGAAGAACAGGAUGUGGAUGAUAACUAUGCGUUCCUGUCACGUAGCUUUCAGAAGAUUCUGAAAUAUCAACAGAAUCGAGAUCCUCGAAAGCGAUUUCCUGAUUCCUCAAAUGCUCCUAGAAGUCGUGGUUUUGAGCGGUUCUCUGUUGAUGGGAGAAGAGCUCGAGUUGAUCGUAAAGAUGUCCAAUGUUACAAGUGUCGUGAUUAUGGACACUUUGCAAAUGAAUGUGAUAAGAAGGUCGACCGCAAACCUGGUGAUAAUUCCAAAGCGAAUCUCACAGUAACAUGGGAUGAUUCAGAUGAAGAUGAUGAUGGGAAUCUCUCAAAUGUUGUCUCAAAUUAUGUGGUCUUCAGUGCAUCCCUGGAUGAACAUCCAGGAGGUAUUGUAUCCUCUUCUGCUGAUAUUAAUGUUUCUGAUUCUGGUGUUCAUGCUACUACUAGUGAAUUAUGUGACAUGUAUAAGUUUUCUAUGCAACAAGUAAAGUUGCUUGAAAAAACUAACAAUGUCUUGCAGGAUCAGGUAGAGAGUCUUGGACAGGAUAUAUGUAAUCUGACAGGUGAUUCCAACAUGUUGAAGGAAGAAUUUGUGAAGGAAAAGGAGGAUUUCCAAGUGCGUAUUGUCACUCUGGAAAAACUGAAUAAUGAUCUGGAAACACGGUAUCGAGCCCUUGUACUGGAGCAUGAGCGAGUAAAGGCUGAGUUGUUUGCUGCUAACAAACAAUUGGUAGGGUUUGGUAAAGCAAGUGCUAAUCUAAACUCUCUGUUGGGAAUCGGUAAAUCCCAUUCAGAUAAAACUGGUUUAGGAUAUGACACCUCUGUUCCCCUUGCUACUGCUAGCACUUCCCGCACUACCUUUGUGCGACCAACAAGUGUCGCUAUUCCUGCUCCUGUGCAGGUGUCUAGUGUGGUAUCACCACCCAAGGUGUCUCAUGUGAAGCAAGUUCGGAAAAAGAACUCUAGACACAAAGGCUUUAAAUGUCUAACAUGUGGUCGCAUGGGUCACACUUCUGCCUUUUGUUGGAAUAAUUUGUAUCCUGCUCAUCAUCCUUCUUUUGCAGGUAACUCAUAUUGGAACAAGUCUUCCACCUUCUCCAUGCAGGCUCCAUACAUGUGGAAUGGCUAUGCUCCGUGGGGUUUACCCAGAACUUCUCCCUAUGGAAACCGUCCUCAAGCAACACCCAUGCCUACUCCACCACCACAUUUCUGGGAUAGGAGUAUGGAUGCAUCCAGGAAAAUGGUGUCUCACAUGGCUCGUUUGGUUGAACCAUUGCCUUCAUCAUGGUAUCUUGACAGCGGUUGUUCGCGUCAUAUGACAGGUGAUAAGACUCUGAUUGAUAACCUGGCUCUUGGUUAUGGAGGUAAGGUUAGGUUUGGUAAUGGUAAAUUGCUUCCGGUUGAAGGUAAAGGUAACUUUUCUGAGGUUGAAUCGCUCAAUAGUCAUGAGCUUCUUUUUGUUAAGGGUCUUAGGUCUAAUCUAUUGAGUAUUAGUCAGUUAUGCGAUGCUAAAUUUAAGGUUGUGUUUGAGGAUAAUAGGUGUGAUGUUUUUGAUUCCAAUAAUAUCUUGGUGUUAUCUGGUAGUCGCUCAUCUGAUAACUGCUUCAUUGUUACUACACCUCUUCUGCAUUCCUAUGUCUAAUGUGUUCAUUGGAACUGUCUGUGUUUAGGAUGUUUUAGGGUUGGUCAUUUAUUGUUGUUAUUGGUAUUGAGGACAUACUACAUUCUCUAUUGUGUGGAUUUCAUUUUACAAAUGUUUCUAGUUUGGCGUUCUCAACUGUCUUUGGUCAUGCAUAGGUGUAGGGUUACAUUAUACUCUCUUCGUAUUGGUAGUUUCUUGCAUGAUGCAUUUCAAUGUGGUCGGCUUGACUUUUUCAAUACAUGUUUAACUCCAGUCUCCCAUGGUUAAUUUUUCAUGAUCGUUGUUCUUUGUUUUCUUUAUUCUCUCACCUCUUGUAAGUGGUCAAUGACUCACAAAAUCCCCAGCCAUUUGAAUGUCUUGAGAGCAUACUCAUUUGGCUAAGAACCCGUUGGGGCUGUGAGGGUCAUGCUCUGACGGUUGCACUCAAGAGAUGUUAGUUCUUGUGUUGCACGUUAUCAUGGUAUUGCACUUCUUGAGUGUGUUUUGCCGAAAAGAUGUAGGCUACACCCUACCCUCGUGUUCUGGUAAAAGAUGGAGAUAUUUCAUACUCCCACACGGGAAUGGCAUCUGUUUCAAUGGUUUACAAAAAAAAAAAAAAAAAAAAAAACUGAAUGAAUAGUGGCUUUCGCAUUUGUCUAGUUGAAGGACUAGAAGAAAAACAAUAGUGUGUGUUUUUGGGCUAGUUGCAAGUGACCUUCAAUAUUCCCUAUGAUCAUGUCUUUAGUUUGUUUUUUGGAGGUUGGUAUUGGUCUAUCAGGUUCUUCUACAUACUUGCAUCAUUCUAGUAACUACCAUGUCAUGGUGUAUGAUGUCGUUCUUCGAUUUUGCAUUCUCUUGUGGUUGAGGUUUGUUUAAACUAUAUUCGGUUGUAAUUGGAAUUCGUAUGAUACGUAGAAGUGUUUUCUUGUGAUGUCUCUCAAUAUUUUUUUUGGAGUUAUGUGGUUUAUUUUAAAAAAAAAAAAAAAAAAAAAAAAAAAAAAAAAUGUGGUCGUACGAACGCUGUGAUGACGUUCGAACGUUGAGGUGGGCAGAUCUUUUUCCAACGUACGAACGUUUUCAGAACGUACGAACGUAGGGUCUGACAGAUGUUUUUUUUUUGGUCCCGACGUACGAACGUUAUUAGAACGUACGAACGUCCCUGAAACAGUCCGGCCCAUUUGCUGUUUAAAAACCAAAUUUUUUAAACACAAAGCCUACUGUUAUAUAAAUCGUGUUUCCCUCCUUGUUACACUACAAGCUGUUAGUUUUUGGUCGUUUCUCCUCAUUGUCUUAGGUGAUUCUCUUCUCUCUCAACUUGUUUGCAAUUUGUUCAUCUUCUCUUCUCCUUGUUUUGGUCCGGUGUGUUGGUCGGGAGAUUUGUUCGUCAUUCUCACUCACAAUCACUUGUAAGUUUUCUUUUGUUCCUUCUUCUCUUCUCUAUUGUCAUGUUCUUGUUGAUAUUUUGGGUUUGCUUUAUCAUAUAUUGUUAGUUAAGGUUGUAUGCUUGUUUGUUGUCUUCAUGGGACUUGGUGUUUCUAUACUCGCUCUUGCCGCCAUUUUAGUUGGUAAUGACCUUGGGAAGUGGUUUGUUCUUGGUCUCUAUUGUGUCUUUCUGUUUUGCUAUGUGUUUGGGUGCUUGCGAUUCUUUCAUUGUUGUCGAUAGCACAUGCUUAGGUUUCUGCACACCAAGUGUUUGAUGAAAUGCCUCUAUGGGCUUGAAUUUGGUUAUUUUGUCCAUUUUCUUACAUUUUUGGUUUGUGUACUGGUGUGUUUGUGUAGGAAAUGUCUUCAAAGCGUGCACGCACCUCCACGGCAUCCGCAUCUAAGGGUGCAUCUUCUUCUCGCGCUCCGAGGAGUCGUGGUUCCACUCCGGGUGUGUCUCAUCCAUCAUCCCUUGGCGCUCAUCCUCGAGCCAAGGCCAUUGUUCCCGAGCGUUUCUUCGACUUGGGAGACAUUGCUGCCACCCCUCUAGGGGCAUCUCAACUUGGAAAUAUCGCAUUGUUCUUUGAGACUCGGAAUUGGCUAAGGGUGGCUCAACCAAUCACCAAGUACUCGGUUGAGCAUACGAUAACUUUCUAUGAGACAAAGACACCCUCGCAAAAUCGAUCGAGUUUUUCGGUUUUGAUUGAAGGUCGGCGAUACACCAUUUCUCCUAAGGUGAUACGCGAGGCGUUGGGUAUUGAUGGUGACUUUGUUCCUGAGGAUGCUGUCUCUGUUAGAUGGCCCGUUCCGGAGUCAAUUCAAAUUGACUUUGUCAAUCAAGUUCAGCAGAUGUUUAUUGAUGGUGUCACGGAAAGGUAUCAUGCCAAGCACUACAGCGCCAUCCUCCUGCACAUGGUUGCUCACUCCAACAUCUACCCCACCAAGGGCAACAAGAUAAUUAUGACCGACGACAUGGUCAAAUUGGUGGUUUGUAUGUCGGUGCACCAUAUUCAUCUCUCUGAGGUCAUCUACAAUCGGAUGCUUCAAAUUGAUGCAGCUAAGGGUACUCUUCCUUUCCCUAGCUUUAUUAUGACGAUUCUCAGGCACUUGGGUUUUCAGGGACAGUAUUUGGGGGUGAGCCCUCCAAAGUUUGUUGGCCACGACUGGGUUAACGCUAUUAAAAAGGGCUGUCAGUCUCGAAAGUUGGCUUUCGAGUCCGUGGGUGCGCGUCUGACGCACCACCUCAUUUGGGGAGGCAGGGCACUUGUGCGUAAUGAUGAUUUCGAUCGGGCCUUGACCACUGGACGCCCCAUCCCUGCUUCUGCUAGGGGAAAUCGGGCUGUUGCAGCCAUUGAUGCUCGGGUUUCCUCUCUCCGCCGUCAUCAGGACCAUAUGGAUGCUCGGUUGGAUCGUUUCGGGGCCAUUCUCUCUCGUCAUGAUGUCAUGAUCAGUGAUAUUCAUGCGAUGAAUGUUGCUCAGAUGCAGCAUCUGCAGCUGGACUUCACUCCCACAGACUUGCCUCCGUUUCCGGAAGAGGUGCCUCCAGUUCAAGGUGCGAGUGAUGGUGAUAACUCAGAGAGUGAGGACGAGGGUGAUGGUGAACCGAGUGAUGGUGACUCGGACUCCGAGUAGUGGUUUUUUUCUGGUUUACUCUCCACAUUUUUGUACUUAAAUUUUUUUUGCUAUAUCGGUUUGUUUCUAUUUUUUUUUAGUAUUGUACAUGUUCUUGGAUAUUGCUAUUUUCAUAUUAGUUCAAGUUGGUUUCCUUGUUUUGCAGUAAAUUUUUCUGAGGUAAUGGACCUUUCUUUUUGGGUCCAUGAUAUGUUUACUCCUAUUCUUCUUAUAAAUAGGGAGUCUUUUCUCUUUCACUCAUAUUGUGUCUUCUUACCUCUUGCUAAUUCUCUCUUUGUUCUUCAGAAUUUUCUAUGGCAGAAUAUGAACUUCAUGGAAUUUUUGUUCCGAAUGUUGGUUAUGUGUCGUUCAUGGUAAUGGAGUACAAGAACAAUGCUAAGGUUUGUCGUUUGUGUCGCGUUCCCCAUGGAUAUGACUAUAUUCAUCGUCCUUUCCUUAAUCCUUGUUUGGUUCGUGUCAAUCAUUGGGAGAGAUUACCGGGACAUCUUCAAAAUCACAUCUUGGAGUUGGUUGGUUAUCCGAAGGUUCCAGGACUUGCUGCUCCACUUACCGACUGUGGCUUGGACAGCAGAAUUGAGGAGUUGUUUUGUACGAGUGAAUGGUUGGAGGAUUAUGAUGAUCAUGUGAUUGCUCGGUGGAAUCGACCUUCGGCUCGUGCGGAAGCUUACUUCUCCAAGCUUCCUCUAGGUCAUUGGGAAAGGGUCUUUCGAAUUCGUUAAUUCGAGCUUUCUAUUUUUGUCGUUUUGGUUUUUCUGUUUAUGGAUAUCUCUGUUUGGUUAUUAGUUGAUUUUCUGAACUUUUAAUAGUUGGGUUCGGUUUAUAUUUUUAUUUGUUCUGUAUUCUUUGUUUGGUAUUGAUUUCUUCUUCUUGAUUAUUGGUUUAUUGUUAUUCUUUUCCUUUGAUUGGUUGGUUAUUUUGUUCACUUGUUGUGACAAAAAGGGGGAGAUUUAUGACUCUAAUUACUAACAAUCGUCUUCUUGUUGUUAGGUUAUUUUUGGGUCAUGUUUCAGGUAUGCUACACGUAUGGGGGAGUUGCUCAUGAAGUUUGGAGCUCAUGAAGUAUGGGGGAGUUGCUCGAAGGAACUUCUGUUGAAUCUUUGAUUGCUUCCGUUCGAUCUCUGAUGGUUAAAGCAUCUUCCUAAAGCUGGAUAACAAGAAUUGGUGACUUGUUAUGUGUUUCUAUUUUGAGUGUUUUUGUAGGCAUGUUUGAUAAAUGCCAUGGUUUGGGAUUGUAAGCACGUUUUUUAAGUGCUAUUAGAGUCAUAGGUUUUUGUCACAAAAUCAAUGUCAAAGGGGGAGAUUGAAACCGGCACGAAGUGGUUUGACAUCAAUUUUGUGACAAAGUGUCUUUGGUUAUCUCGCCUUGAAUUCAUUGUUAGGAAAACCAAGAUGUACGCAUGGUCGUCUCGUGUCCUUGUGUCUCUUAGGUCUGUCUAGGGAAAGUUAUUGGGUUCUGGACGUACGUACCGAGUUAGGACGUACGUACGUUCACUGAAGCAGCGAACUUCUUUUGGUCAGGACGUACGUACUUGUUUAGGACGUUCGUACGUCCUGGUAGUCAGCAGACAUGUUUUUGUAUGGAGACGUACGUACCUGUUUAGAGCGUUCGUACGUCAUGUUAGGCAGCAGGCUUAUUUUUGUGUGGCGACGUUCGAACGUCAUAUCGACGUACGAACGUCCAAAGUCGGUUUGCUUUGUUUCGGCCCAUUUUUCUAGGUUUUCAACCCUAAGUAUAAAUAGGGUUUCUCUUCUACAGAACAAGACAGUUCUUUGGCCGUCCAUCCUUCUUCUUGUUCAUGUGUUUUGGUUAGGUUUUUGGUAUUAAACUUGUUUGUGGCUAUUGAACUCAAUUCCCUUUCUUCCCCCUUUUCCCAAUUCAUAUCUUUGUGAUCUUCAAGAGUUAUUGUGAAUUCGGCUUCGAGUCUUCUUGUGUGUUCAUCAAGAAGUCGAGUGUCUUGUGCGUACAUCAAGGUGCUCUGGUGAAGUCAAGGUGUUAGAGAUAACCAGGAGUAUCAACUCGCAGUGAGUGCAGGUAGUUGAUAGGUUUGUACAUCUCUUUUCAUCUAGUGGAUUAUUUUGUUGUCGCGAGGACAACCGUGGACGUUUCCCAGUUUGGGUUUUACCACGUUAAAAACUUCUGUGUGUUAUUUACUUUCCGCGUAUUGUUUGUUUGCUUGUUUGAAUUCACAUUUGUUACACUAGCACUAUUUGUAGUUUCUCACAAUAUCCUCUAAAUUGUUGUUUGUUGUUAUGUAAAUUACAAAGGCAUGAUAUCCAUUCUAUAUUAUUAAUAUAUGUGAAUUAUAGUCUGUAAUUUGAUACAUGAGUUCGAUGUCUCAACUGAGGACAAAAUCCUUAUAGUACAGAAAAAAAAAAGAAAAAAAAUUUGUAUUGCUAUGAAAAGUUCGUAAAAAUGUUUAAUGUAUAGUUAACUUCACAAAAAACUUCAUAAAAUAAUAUAACCCAGUCUAUAUAUUGUUUUUAGGUUACAUCUCAAACCAUAAGAAAAAAGAAAAAGAACAUAAUCUAGACUAAACAUAAAUUCCUCCUUUUGCAUGGUGUAAUGUCAAUAAGCUCGUUAAAUUUGUACUCCAUUCUCCCUUCCUAUCCCUCACACCAAAACAAUAUAAUAGCUCAAAUCUCUAAUCAUUAUUUUAUUUUAUAUUUUGGCAAACGGGGUUGAGGGCACCCCUUACCCCUUUAAAUUACAUGAGGAAACUUAUAUCAAACAAUCAGUUUACUAGCAUGUUUUGAACCAACGAUCUCUCCACUUUGUGAGAUGGAUGCAACCAUUGAGCCACAGACUCGAGUGCUCUCUAACCAUCAUUGAAACUAAUAGUCUCUCUUUAUUUAAACACUCAUGUCUUCUUGUUUUCAACAAAAUCCAAGUAAUACAUAUAAAACCAUGACCAAUAUACUUUGAUAACUAGCUUUAAUCCACCUUUCAAAACUUUUCAAUAUAUAAUAUAAUUUAAUAAAGAUACUUUAGCAUUAAUGGGUGACAUUAGCUUUAGGGAUCUGUUGACCAGGUGGGCAUAUGCUCUACAGGAACAGUGGUAACUCAGCUGUAUUGGACAUUUGAGGAUGUUUGUGCCCCCCUGUUUCUUUCUUUUCUCUUCUCUGUCUUUGAGUGGCCUGUUAUGCUCAGGAGCUAGGUGUAGAGAGUUGUUUUGGUUUUUUACCUGACGGUGUACAGUCUUUGUACAUGCUGAUCAGGCGAUGUAUAUCCUACCUUUGGAUGUGAAUAUAAUGUUGUUUGAUUCAAAAAGAGAAGAAGAGACAUACUUUUUAUUAAAAAAAAUAUUAUAAUUUAAUAAAUUUGCAUGUUAAAUUGAUACAAUAGCUUGUUUAGAGGAUAAAGGUAUAUUGUUUAGAGAACAACAAUCAAUGUUUUAGCGGAUAAGACCCUUACAGUAUAUAGAGAGAAAAUUAUCGAAAAAAUAAAAAACACAUUUUUUUUUUCAUACCCAUGUGGGAUCUUGUUAGAUAGAUCUCGUCGAGAUCUUUCCAACCAUAUACAUCAUAUUGAUUUUUACUUUCUUAAUUAAAAGAUAUACAAGUUAUAAAUAAUAUAACAAAAAAUAUUAAUUAAUAUUAAAAAAUUUGUUUUUGUCUUUUCUUAUUUGUCUUAUUCUGUUUUUUUUUCUUUUGUUUUUAGUAUGAUGGGUACAAUGGUCUCACAAAAUUGCUAAAAGGUAAUGUGGUGGGUCAGGGGGCUUGUUUGAGAAAAUAGCCCCAUGUCAGGGCCUAUUGGGGAAGAGGCAACUAAACAUGGGGCUUUUUUGGGAUAUUACCCAAAAAUAUAAGUUCAGCAACAAUAAAACUAAAAAAAGGGAAUAAAUCAAUACAUCAUAACAAAAGCAUUGCAAUAUGAACAUCUCAUUUACCUUCUCUUACCCCCCCCCCUCCUUUUAUGUGAAUUCUAGAUGACAGGAGCUACUCUCUCUCUCCCAGACCCAACAUCCUGAAAUCUCAUUAAGUUUUUCUUUAAGUCGCUGCUCUUUUCAAUUGUAAAUGAGUUAAGGUUAAUAAGACUAUUAAAACCCUCUUCACAUUCUGCAAAAUUGGAGAUCCUCUUUCAAGAAUUUCAAAAGCUUUGACACAAGCCUCUAAUUUACUUUCGACAAACUCAAACCCAAUCAUUUUAGACACCAACAUAUUCUAACAAUCAUAACAUAAGCACUAUAUUAUCAACGGUUUCAAUUUUGUACCUCUUUUGUGUGGUGAAGACACUUCAAAAAGGAGAGCACAGUCCUUUUGUCUCCCUGCAACGUGACAUACAAUCGAAAUCGAUAAAAUUAAUCCAGAAAUAGUAACACCUUCCCUUGUUCUCUUUUAUUCUCAUCCUGAUGCCAUCCUCUCUCUCUCUCUCUCUCUCUCUCUCUCUCUCUCUUAUCUGACACAGCAAGGUUUCCAACUGGUGGUAGUCUGUGCCCACUAUCCUCUCGCUCUCAGACCCUACAUUAGAGGAAGGGGAGGUGUACAUGAACAGAUAAUAGAAAUAAAUUAGCUACAGUUAGCACUCUGUUGAAUGACUGUAAUUAUCUUAUUAAGUCUUUUCUGCUUGAGCAAAAUACAAUAUGUUUCUUACAGACUAAUGAAGCAAAAUACAAUAUCAAGUUUCAUGGCGACCAGAUCAAAAUGGGAAUUUCUCAGUUAAAGCUGCACAUGAACUCGUGAAGAGAUAAGGAAGAAGAGCCCACUCGCAACUUGGCACAGAUUUAAAUGGCAAACACAUGUCCAUCCACAGUUGGCUGGGACAGCUGAAAAUUAUAUGUCUUAAAACUAAAAAGAUACAAACUGCUUCUAGGUGUUAUCUACAUUGCAGAAGAAAACUUACAAUACCUACUUUGGGAGUGCAUGUCUGCUACAAAUCUAUGGCGUAGCCUCUCACAUUAACUUUGGUCUUUUAUAUAUUUUAAGCAAUUUUGCACAGGGAAUAUUGCAUUAGCAUUACAAUUCAGGUUUGGGGACUUGUGUGAUUAGUGGGAUGCACUUUGAAAAAAUAGAAACAAUGGAUGUUGUUUGAUAUUACAAGAUCUAAUCUGACGUAGUGCAAGAAAGAAGUGAGAAGGCACAUUCAUAGAGCAAUUAGCUUGUCUAAGGCGCAUGUCACUAACUCUGCUGCAAAAACAAGACUUUGUCAGAAUGGGGGUAUCAAUCCUAGACAGACAAGCACAACUCCUGAUGACGGGUUUGUAACUGGAAACCUCUUGAUGAGAGGUUUGUUAAAGUAUCCAGGGUGAGCAGUUUACAAAAAUCAUCUUGGUGGUUUUCUAAUAUAUAACGAAUAAAGUACACUGAGUUCUGAAUACUUUGACAAUGAAUUUAUGAGAAUGUUGUACUGUACAUUGUAUAAAAGCAACUGCUUGAACAAAUUAAAACUUGUCAUUAAUUAGAAAAAAGCACAAUAAUUCUGAGCUUGAAUGUAGUGAAUUAUGUAAAACAAAUCUAAUUAAAAUAAAAAUACCAAUUCAAGAAAAUCACAGGAAAAGGAAAUGAGAGAGAUCAGAGGAGACUUCCAAAGGUGUGGGCUAUCUUAUAACUAAAACCUAAAUAUAAAUUUCAUUAUGAUAUUAGAUAGUAGAGACAAUAUACUAAAGUGAAGGAAUUGGUUGUGUGCGUUGUGCCACUCGAUAAGACAAAUCUCUCAACAAGAUAAGCACAGUUAUAUAUUAAUGUUCAACAAUAAGAUAGAUAUGUAUACCGUUCAAGCUCUGAUAGGGGGAACAUUUGUUAAAAAAUGGGGCAAGCUGAAGAUAAUCACAGCUGCACAAAAUAAAAGAGUUCGUGUCAAAAAUUAUGAAUUAGAACUAGUUUAUAUACCCCUUAUAUUUGAAUAACAUCAAAAUUUGAUGAUCAAAUCACAAAAAAAUUGUUUGUCAUUAAUCUAACAAAAUUCAUUCAGAUUUCAGAAAACCUAGACGUAAUGGACUAUUAAAAGAAGAAAGAAAAAAAAAAUUACCUCGAAAAACGUUGUUUGAAGAAGAAGAAAA
RNAcentral lists this long non-coding RNA (30165 nucleotides) under Aquilegia coerulea. RNAcentral's name for it is "long non-coding RNA (ACOE_LNC001360)". The record is from RNAcentral. Lineage: Eukaryota; Viridiplantae; Streptophyta; Magnoliopsida; Ranunculales; Ranunculaceae.